Molecule: long non-coding RNA, 1278 nt
Filed under: Homo sapiens (human)
Lineage: Eukaryota; Metazoa; Chordata; Mammalia; Primates; Hominidae
Description: HSALNT0363461
Source: RNAcentral
GGGAGGCAGUACAGGGGGAGCUGAACUGGCUGAGGGUCGAGGCGAAAACUCGGUCUGGCUUAGGAGGACCUUGGAGGUAGAAUUAUGAAUGGCUCAUGAACGGAGCCAUGGAGAGUGGAUCCUGACUAAACUUAGCUAUUGAUCAAUGUAGAGAAACUGAUCAGGGUGGCUAGGAGUUUCAGUAACAACCUGCCACACAGCUUGAACAGUUGUGAGGUUCAAUGACCCUUCAGGGGGCCACUUGACUUUAAACUUUGGCCAUUUUAUUUUGCAGAGUGUCUGGAGCUUACCUUUUUUAAGGCGGACUUUAUAAUCCUCUGAACUGAGAGAAAAAUUCUGCAGCAUACAUUGGAGAGGGCUUUAACUUUACAAGGCUGGGAGGAAGUGUUUCUUAUUUUUUUUUUUAAGGCAAUUUAAUAAGAUUUGAGCAUAGAUAUUAAACUUAGCAUGGACAGAGAAACUUAUUUCUUGGGGGACUGGCAUAGUGAAAGAACAGAAUCAAUAUGACUAGAAAGAGCAGAAAAACUUAAAACAGCUAAUACUACUUGCUACAUUGCUGUAGCUUUAAGAUUGAGGGAGGAGGACUAGAGCCAGCCUGAGAUCUUCUGGGUCAGUUUGAUCUAGGCGUUCUUCUUCUUCUUCUAGAUCUGCGCUUUAAAUACUUUUGGUGUCUUUAUGACUUAAAGGCAAAUAGCUUAAACUUAGCUUUUUCUUUUAAGGGUUUAAGGAGUGAGAACAGAGCCAAGUCCUGGAGACGGUGAACUUGCUGUCGCACCAGAAAACGAGAUGUGCAGGAUAGGGGGCAGGGACAAGGCGGAAAAGGACUACUCGGAUCAUUUUUAAGAUGGGAGAGUAGCCACAGAGGAGCAGAGUAAGAAUCUAAACGAGACAGACAAGGGGAGGGGCUCCUGUGAUGGGAUCAGUCAGAUGCCUGCCUGGCCGCUCCCCCUGAGGGGACUUGGGCUCCUCUUAACAUUGGCAGGCUGGUAUAAACUUCCGGCUCAGAUCAAGCUAUGCCUGAUGCUGCCUUAAGCCUUAUGAGGUCGCCACGGAACCGCAGAAACUCCUGGAGGGCAGAGCUGUGUCUGCCAUCUUCAUCAUUGCAUUACCACCACCAAGCACAGUGCCUGGCACAAAAGAGUUGCUCAAUAAAUAAAUCAGGAUGAAUGGAUAAAUACAUGGAUAGGCACUUUGAGCUACAGAUGAGUUUAAAUACUUUGUGUUUUUCUUAGUCAAACAUGUGCAAUUAAGCAUGUGAUAAAUGAUAUGAUGACCACA